RNAcentral lists this unclassified non-coding RNA (377 nucleotides) under Callicarpa sp. 38173. RNAcentral's name for it is "partial external transcribed spacer". Lineage: Eukaryota; Viridiplantae; Streptophyta; Magnoliopsida; Lamiales; Lamiaceae. The record is from RNAcentral.
GCGCGUGAGUGGUGAUUGGCGUGUGUGGGCGUGUUGGAUCCCUGCUCGGGCAGCGACGACAUUGCAUCCGCGCCUCUUCAGUUGUUGGCUCAAGCGCUCGUUGGCCUUGGCCGACGUCGGUUUCCUGUGUUGAAUACCUAUUGCGAAGGCAUUUUGUUGGCUAUGUUGUCCCUUUUCCGCCUCGCACUGCUGCGCCCGUCGGCGUUGUGGUGCGGGGUGGACCUCAAAGCGUGCGCCGUGUUCCACAUCCCGUGCACUUCAAUACGGGUGCUCGGGCUGUCGGCCCACGGCGCACUGCUCGGUCCCUCGGAUGCGGAACACCGAGUGGGUACGAGGCCCUCGGCCUCCAUCUGCCCCGAAAAAAGCGUUCUACGCUU